This 450-nucleotide ribosomal RNA is filed under the name uncultured Gammaproteobacteria bacterium. RNAcentral describes it as "bacterial SSU rRNA". It matches the Rfam family "Bacterial small subunit ribosomal RNA", at positions 45 to 486 of the family's 1533-position model. Lineage: Bacteria; Pseudomonadati; Pseudomonadota; Gammaproteobacteria. The record is from RNAcentral.
GGCCUAACACAUGCAAGUCGAGCGGUAGCACAGGGAGCUUGCUCCUGGGUGACGAGCGGCGGACGGGUGAGUAAUGUCUGGGAAACUGCCUGAUGGAGGGGGAUAACUACUGGAAACGGUAGCUAAUACCGCAUAACGUCUUCGGACCAAAGAGGGGGACCUUCGGGCCUCUUGCCAUCAGAUGUGCCCAGAUGGGAUUAGCUAGUAGGUGAGGUAAUGGCUCACCUAGGCGACGAUCCCUAGCUGGUCUGAGAGGAUGACCAGCCACACUGGAACUGAGACACGGUCCAGACUCCUACGGGAGGCAGCAGUGGGGAAUAUUGCACAAUGGGCGCAAGCCUGAUGCAGCCAUGCCGCGUGUAUGAAGAAGGCCUUCGGGUUGUAAAGUACUUUCAGCGAGGAGGAAGGCGUUAAGGUUAAUAACCUUGGCGAUUGACGUUACUCGCAGAA